GCGCAAGUUGCCAUACAAAAGACGUGUUUACCCUUAAAUUUUGAUUUCUAAAUUGUUUUUGUGUCAUAUCUCCAAUGUCCUUGCCCUCAUUUUCAUGGUUCAGUGACUACUUGAAAAAAAAAGAUCAGAUCUUUCGUAAUGUUGAAUUCUCUCUUAUAAGUAAAAUACCUAUGUUUGGUAUGUGCGUACCUUGCAAGGUCCUUAUGCCCACC
This 212-nucleotide long non-coding RNA is filed under the name Mytilus galloprovincialis (Mediterranean mussel). Lineage: Eukaryota; Metazoa; Mollusca; Bivalvia; Mytilida; Mytilidae. The record is from RNAcentral.